AAUUUUGGACAAUGGGGGCAACCCUGAUCCAGCCAUCCCGCGUGUGCGAUGAAGGCCUUCGGGUUGUAAAGCACUUUUGGUAGGGCGGAAAAGGUUCUGGCUAAUAUCGGGUACUGCUGACGGUACCUGCAGAAUACGCACCGGCUAACACCGCGCCAGCAGCCGCGGUAAUACGUAGAGUGCAAGCGUUAAUCGGAAUUACUGGGCGUAAGGCGUGCGCAGGCGGUUCGGCAAGAAGAAUGUGAAAUCCCGGGGCGUAACCUCAGAACUGCAUUCUUAACUGCCGGGCUAGAGUAUGUCAGAGGGGGGUAGAAUUCCACGUGUAGCAGUGAAAUGCGUAGAUAUGUGGAGGAAUACCGAUGGCGAAGGCAGCCCCCUGGGAUAAUACUGACGCUCAGACACGAAAGCGUGGGGAGCAAACA
This 422-nucleotide ribosomal RNA is filed under the name uncultured bacterium. RNAcentral's name for it is "partial 16S ribosomal RNA". It matches the Rfam family "Bacterial small subunit ribosomal RNA", at positions 360 to 774 of the family's 1533-position model. The record is from RNAcentral.